CCUACGGGAGGCGGCAGUGGGGAAUUUUGGACAAUGGGCGCAAGCCUGAUCCAGCAAUGCCGCGUGAGUGAAGAAGGCCUUCGGGUUGUAAAGCUCUUUUGUCAGGGAAGAAACGGUGGGGGCUAAUAUCCCUCGCUAAUGACGGUACCUGAAGAAUAAGCACCGGCUAACUACGUGCCAGCAGCCGCGGUAAUACGUAGGGUGCAAGCGUUAAUCGGAAUUACUGGGCGUAAAGCGUGCGCAGGCGGUUUUGUAAGUCUGUCGUGAAAGCCCCGGGCUCAACCUGGGAAUUGCGAUGGAGACUGCAAGGCUUGAAUCUGGCAGAGGGGGGUAGAAUUCCACGUGUAGCAGUGAAAUGCGUAGAGAUGUGGAGGAACACCGAUGGCGAAGGCAGCCCCCUGGGUCAAGAUUGACGCUCAUGCACGAAAGCGUGGGGAGCAAACAGGAUUAGAUACCCUGGUAGUCCACGCCCUAAACGAUGUCUACUAGUUGUCGGGUUUUAAUUAACUUGGUAACGCAGCUAACGCGUGAAGUAGACCGCCUGGGGAUACGGUCGCAAGNUUAAAACCNAAAGAUUGACGNNGAGAGNGCGAGACGACGACGAGGGAGAGG
Molecule: ribosomal RNA, 612 nt
Filed under: uncultured bacterium
Lineage: Bacteria
Description: bacterial SSU rRNA
Rfam family: Bacterial small subunit ribosomal RNA
Source: RNAcentral